This 1087-nucleotide long non-coding RNA is filed under the name Chloebia gouldiae (Gouldian finch). RNAcentral describes it as "Erythrura gouldiae (Gouldian finch) lncRNA (ENSEGOG00005013117.1)". The record is from RNAcentral. Lineage: Eukaryota; Metazoa; Chordata; Aves; Passeriformes; Passeridae.
GAUUGGCGCAGCCCUGCCGGGGAGCGAGGCGGGGAGAGGGCGGGCGGGGGCCGGGCACGGCAGCGCGGGGAGAGGGGGCGCGGGCAGCCCGGCUCCCGCCCCACGCGUGACUCAGCACGGCCCCACGGGGCUGGAGUGGGGCGGCACAGCCCUCGGGGCAGGCCCAAAGAGGACACCUUAUUUGAACCACAGAAAACAGCCUAAAUAAGGAAAAUGGGAAGCAUUUCCAACUGUUGCCUCUUGCGGACUGGCUGGGGCAUAUCACGGGGAUGAGACAAGGAAAAGGGUUUCUAACCAAAAGGAACAGGAGCCAAGUGCUGCCUUUAAAGCCAGGAGAGGAGUGGGUUGGCCCCAGGCAGUUCCUUGCUGGCUUGCUGGUGGAUCAGGCAGGUACGAGGCACAGACACACAUUCCUCUCCUUCCCCACACACCUGGCCAAAAACUCAGCUUCCUCUUUUUUCUGCAGAGCAUCAGCAGUAGGUGCUGCUGCUCUCAGCAGGAGGACUCGGUCCCAGUGGAGGGGUGGGGACUCCAGCCCCCGUGUGCCUGAUUCCGAGGUGGGGCUGCUGCGUGCAGCUGUAAGACAGAACCUCGAACAGCCAGAGACAGAUGGGCUUCCCGCAGGUGAUGGGAACCACAGCAAGCUGUAAUCCUCCAGCUCCAUCAAGGCGACUCCAAGGCUUCAGUUUGGGUGCACACCUUUUCCUCCCCUCUGCCCCAGCAAGGCCGGCAGUUUCUACUCAGUCUGCAAAGCUAGGAGCACUCCAGGCUGAGCACCAAAUAACAGAAAGUUAAUUCAUGAAUAGUUACAGCGUUUCCUUCAAGGCCACUCUCACAAGGGGCCAAGCACCAACUUUGCCAUGUCCUUGGAGCAGGGGGGAGGGCACUGGCCCCAUUCAUCCCUACCUGGCUGCCCACAGCCUUGGCCAGAUGGGCUCCAGGAUUUGCCCUUCUGCUUUUGUCAGCUCUAGCUUGCAUUGGAAGUUGUGGCCAGUCUGAAAAACGGAUUAUGACACAGCCCUUGCUGAGGUCAACACUGCUGGAGAAAGACAAUAAAAGGAUGAGUAGGUAGGCUUGGAAAAAGAGA